Long non-coding RNA from Strongylocentrotus purpuratus (purple sea urchin), 250 nucleotides. RefSeq lists it as uncharacterized. Lineage: Eukaryota; Metazoa; Echinodermata; Echinoidea; Camarodonta; Strongylocentrotidae. The transcript has 3 exons. The record is from RefSeq and is a predicted model, not a curated record.
CCUAAGUUGAAUAUUGUUUCAUUUUCGAUAUGUAUGCUCCUUUUCUAUGCAACCGAUGCUCAAGAGUCUAUUCCAAGUUGGAACUGCUCCGUUAACAACGGCUCUUGUGGAAUUAAACUAGCAGAUGAUGGUGACGGAGGUUGGGAACUUGAUUCCAAAAAUGAGGACCGAUUCCAUUGGAAUAGAAGAGUUUUGGUGUGCAUCGUUGCUCCCUUGGUCACUGCAUUUGCCAUUGUAGUUUUGGUCAUUU